GCAGCGAUAGUCCAGUCUGGCUAAGACCCUACCCUGCCACGGUAGAGACCCGGGUUCGAAUCCCGGUCGUUGCA
This 74-nucleotide transfer RNA is filed under the name Methanosphaera stadtmanae. Its description in RNAcentral is "tRNA-Gly". It matches the Rfam family "tRNA". Rfam says of the family: Transfer RNA (tRNA) molecules are approximately 80 nucleotides in length. Their secondary structure includes four short double-helical elements and three loops (D, anti-codon, and T loops). The record is from RNAcentral. RNAcentral also lists the same sequence under 4 other names. Lineage: Archaea; Methanobacteriati; Methanobacteriota; Methanobacteria; Methanobacteriales; Methanobacteriaceae.